AUUAAUAGAUAUAUUCUUAAAAUUUAAAGAAUUUGGCGGUAAUUUAGUCUUGUUAGAGGAACCUGUUUUUAAAUCGAUAAACCACGUAAUAUCUUACUUGUUUUUGUACUCAGCUUAUAUACCAUCAUUAUCAGAUAAUUUUAAGAAAAUAUAAUUGUUGGGAUUGUAAAAUAAAUAUUAAACAAAAUUAGAUCAAGGUGUAGCUAAUAAGCAAGCUAAAAUGGGUUACAAUAAAAUUUAUUUACUACGGAGCUAUAGUGGGAAACCAUGUUGUUAAGGAGGAUUUAAUUGUAAUAAGAGUAUAACAAGCUCUGGGGAUAUAAGCUCUAAAUUAU
RNAcentral lists this ribosomal RNA (335 nucleotides) under aff. Jacforus sp. n. ZRC meg-nsp2. RNAcentral describes it as "partial small subunit ribosomal RNA". Lineage: Eukaryota; Metazoa; Arthropoda; Malacostraca; Decapoda; Xanthidae. The record is from RNAcentral.